RNAcentral lists this ribosomal RNA (468 nucleotides) under uncultured bacterium. Its description in RNAcentral is "partial 16S ribosomal RNA". It matches the Rfam family "Bacterial small subunit ribosomal RNA", at positions 28 to 507 of the family's 1533-position model. The record is from RNAcentral.
GACGAACGCUGGCGGCGUGCUUAACACAUGCAAGUCGAACGGAAAGGCCCUGCUUUUGUGGGGUGCUCGAGUGGCGAACGGGUGAGUAACACGUGAGUAACCUGCCCUUGACUUUGGGAUAACUUCAGGAAACUGGGGCUAAUACCGGAUAGGAGCUCCUGCUGCAUGGUGGGGGUUGGAAAGUUUCGGCGGUUGGGGAUGGACUCGCGGCUUAUCAGCUUGUUGGUGGGGUAGUGGCUUACCAAGGCUUUGACGGGUAGCCGGCCUGAGAGGGUGACCGGCCACAUUGGGACUGAGAUACGGCACAGACUCCUACGGGAGGCAGAAGUGGGGAAUAUUGCACAAUGGGCGGAAGCCUGAUGCAGCAACGCCGCGUGCGGGAUGACGGCCUUCGGGUUGUAAACCGCUUUCGCCUGUGACGAAGCGUGAGUGACGGUAAUGGGUAAAGAAGCACCGGCUAACUACGUG